UUUUUUGAGAGGAAGAUGAGGUAAGUGAGGCACUUGCUAUUAAAAUAUUAAAUUAUGGAUACAUAGUAUAUGGUCUGAGAUGACCCAGAAAUUAAAUAGAAAGUGGGGGCUACAUGAUGUUGAGAGAGAGGAGCACGAGGAUAGAGACCAAAAGCACCCUCUCUUGGUGCACGCUGAUGACCUUUGGAUUUAAGGGAGAUUUCGGAAUGCUGAAUGGAGUGCCCAGUCAACUGGAUUAAGGCUAGCCGACAAUGCUAUCACUACUUUUCUGCAGAGUGAUGUUGAAUUAAAUAUUUCAAGAGAUAGUUAAGCAAAUAGUCUCCUUAAAGUCCAUGCAACACAAAUUUUCUUAAAUAAAUCAUAAAUAUUAUAUAGAUACUAAGAAACAACAUCUCCCGUGUCCAAUUUGCAAAGAAGCUUGCCCUUGUCUUAGCCCUCCCUCGGACCAAUUCUCCAAGCUUUGUCUUUUUCAGGUUUAAGUUACCGACUCUAACCAUGGCGCAGCAAAGGUUUUACCAUAUGGUAGAGCAUAAAGAUUCCAUGGAGAAUAGUUAGUCUCGAGCAUUUAUUGCAUGUAAUACCCUUAUUAAACUUUUAAUGCUUUGUCACUGUCCCAUUAGAUUCACAAGCGCUGUACCAGACUUGCUCCAUUCUGUAUAGCAUAUUAGCCUUGUCAUACAAACAAAUCUUAACCACCCAUUUGAUGACAAAAGAAGAACUAGGGUACUACAUGGUCAGACGAUAGAUUGGAACAUGGAUAGCCCAACAAGCUAGUUUUCUUCUCUUUCUACUUUUCCCUCUUGUGAAAGGUGGACGAAGAUCCAUCAGAACGCUAUAUUAAAUUUGUAAUCGAAUAUAGAUACUCCGAAUCAAAUAAAAACACUCUUUGAUCUUA
RNAcentral lists this long non-coding RNA (895 nucleotides) under Elaeis guineensis (African oil palm). Its description in RNAcentral is "long non-coding RNA (EGUI_LNC016182)". Lineage: Eukaryota; Viridiplantae; Streptophyta; Magnoliopsida; Arecales; Arecaceae. The record is from RNAcentral.